Molecule: long non-coding RNA, 1032 nt
Organism: Astatotilapia calliptera (eastern happy)
Lineage: Eukaryota; Metazoa; Chordata; Actinopteri; Cichliformes; Cichlidae
Source: Ensembl
GAUAGCUCGGCCGUAUAGCAGUCUGCCUUGUUGAGCCUUUAAUGUUGUCUUCGGGGGUUUGUAUUCAGCGGUGGCUAAUGCAGUUAGUCCCAGCAGUUUAGAGGCAGUUUGGUAGUAAAUUCACAGUCACUCCGAGGCAUAACAGCUGCCGAUUGUUCCUUAUUUUUGUGACCCCUUCUGCUUUGGUCCACAUCAAGACUUGUUUUUCACCCUCUUGCUUACCCAUCAUAACGUGCUGCUGCUGCUGCUGCAUAUCCAGUGGGUAGAUUAAGCCGAGCUGUAUCCACACAAUGUCUCUCCACUCUAGUGUGUCAUGGCCCGUCUUGCCUUGCUUGUGCUGAUGAAACUAGUUUGGAUGGAAGCAUUAUCAGAUUUAGAGAGCUAAUUUGCUGCAGCGGCAAAAGGACCGUUCAUCCUGUUCAAGGGAUGCUUUUUUCACUUUGGUGGUGCUCCGUAUUUUUUAUUUUAUUUUUUUUUUAGCCCUUGAAACAUUGCAUCAGUGCUGAGCUGUAAGACUUUUAAAUUGAUCUCUGCUUAAAUAAUCUCUUUCAAAUUCAUGAAUUCACAUCGAGCAAUCCCCUCUUCUGAGCAUUCAUCACUUUCAAUAAACCCCCGAGAAGCUGUCAUUAUGCCUCCACCUCCUCAUCGUGCUCUAAACUGCUGUUCAAGGGCUGCAAUUUGGAAAUGUGAUUUAAAUAUUGCUUGAAAUGGAUAGCUCGUAUUUACCUAAGCCCCCCCCCCCUUCACGGUGCCAGAGUCUGUCAUGCGAUGAAAGCCAGAGGAUGUCAACUGCACUUCCUGUGCAUGAGUUGUAGACAUUAAUUGCUGCUAGCACAAAGUUUAGCCCCGACCUUUCCAGAUCACAAGGCAAACAGAAUUCUCUGUGGGCCUGCUUUUCCGCACGCUUUUGUCACUCCUUCUUCAUGGCUGGAUUUCUCCGAGAUGAGAAAGGAUUGUCUUUGCUUACACUUUUAAUCGGCUAUAGAGCGCUGAAAUACUCCAGCUGGAAUGAGAAGGAGAUAAAGGCCUUCU